GGACUUCCAGUACUCUGUUGAAGAGCAGUGGUGAGAGUUAGCACCCAAGUCUUGUUCCUGAUUAUCAUGGGAAUUCACUGAAUCUUUCCCCAAUCCCAGAAAGCAGUUGCAUUCCUUGGCUCAUGGCUUCUGCCUCCAUCUUCAAGGCCAGCGGUGGCUACAUGCAUUGUCUGAGGAGCCUAAACAAACACCCCAGAGAACAGAGGUUAGCUGCAAGGGCUGUCUACCUUCCUGCUCGAAUCUUUACAAUGGUGCCAUUCUUCACCUUUUCUUUCUCUCUUGAACAAUCACUGGCUUAAAUUGCACCUGUUCUAGCAAGACAAGUUUGCAGGUUUCAUAAGCCUUCAUGACAUAUCCACAUGCUCUGAAGUAGCUACCUUUAGAGGUAAUAGAGAAGACAGUGUUACUGCUACUGAGUGCUAAGAAGUUCUUCAAUGAGUGAACAAACAAAAAUGUAAUGAAAAUGCACAGGAACUUACUUUUUGCCCUUCUAGUGGGUUUGGAUUCCAUCCUUCAAUCACCAGAGUGGUAUCAAAUCUAAGCUGUUUCCCAGUUGCUCUGAAGUGUUAAGAGAUCCAACCAACACGUGGCAGACUUGAGGACUCUUUAAGGAAGUUUACGGGUGUCUGAGUCCUGGCCACAUCCUGUGACAUUCUUACUUCAGAGAAGUAAGGGAGGGAUUUUGAACACUCCCAGAAAAGUGCACAAGCCAGUGUCUUACAAGAGCACUAGAUGGCAGCAUAGGACAUCUAUUCAACUGCUUCUCUCUGCAGGCUGCUGGAAUUUUGACAGAUACAAAACGGUCAGAGGUCCUAUCUUCCACAUCUACCUACCACAUUCUAUUGGACAAAGCUGGAAGCACCUCUACUUAUCUUACUCCUAUUACUCACAAUUGGACCCAUUAUUAUAAUUAAAAUCGUGUCUUUUAUGUCAACAGAUUAAAGCCAUUAAAAUGCAGACUUUACAGGUCCAUUGUCACAGACUGGAGCUGACGGAUCAAGGUGUUGCCACUGAAGACCUACCACCUGCAGCUAUCAUUCUCCCUUGAUCUUGCAUUCUGUACUUAUUUACUAUACUGCUCUCCUCUACACCUCUGCUAUCGCUGCGGUCUACCUGUCAUGGCAAAAUAGCUACCCCUCCUUUAGGAGCUGCAUAGGAGUCAGACCUAUGAAUAUCAUCUCACAAUAAAGUGAGUGCGAUAUCGGCACCAACGUGGGUGCGAGGCAAAGCACCACAAGGGAAGGUCCCUUUCUGACCACUUCUGAAUUCCCUAAGAGA
Jaculus jaculus (lesser Egyptian jerboa) is the source of this 1278-nucleotide long non-coding RNA. RefSeq lists it as uncharacterized. NCBI's taxonomy places the organism in Eukaryota, Metazoa, Chordata, Mammalia, Rodentia, Dipodidae. The record is from RefSeq and is a predicted model, not a curated record. The transcript has 8 exons.